UGUGGUUCUCAGGUGACUCACCCAGAACCAGAGAGGAGGGAGCCUGAUUCUGGGGUGCGUCACCCGAGAACUGCC
This is a non-coding RNA of Myotis lucifugus (little brown bat), 75 nucleotides long. The record is from Rfam. Lineage: Eukaryota; Metazoa; Chordata; Mammalia; Chiroptera; Vespertilionidae.